Molecule: long non-coding RNA, 1271 nt
Organism: Mus caroli (Ryukyu mouse)
Lineage: Eukaryota; Metazoa; Chordata; Mammalia; Rodentia; Muridae
Source: RefSeq, a predicted model, not a curated record
GUGGGACCACAAUCAUUUGUGCACUGACAGACUUGGUGGCUAACCCGAGACACUGACAAGACCUCACCUUAAGGAUGUCCUCCAUGCUUAGUGCUGAUUGCCAACUGGAUGGGCAUCUAGAAUCAUCUAGGAUGUCACCUCUUGCCAUGUCCCAGAGGGAGUUUCUAGGUCGUGAUAAGAAUUAUCAGAGAUAAAGAAAGGUUGCUGAACACACAUAGUCUCCUGACAACUGGCCACAUGUCAUCUUCCCAGCUUUGCAAGGAAGGGGCCAUUUUUCUUGCAGGAAAACGUGGCCCUCCCCAACGUUAUAGAUAUUCUCCUGUGAUUUCUUCUAGAAGCUUCGUUGUUUCCCACAGCCAACGUCAUACUCACUGUGCCAUCCAGCAUGUGCAAUCGUUCUGCGUCUAUGUAGACUUCACCCAACGCCCAUACCGCUCAGCUUGCCUUUGCAUGUUAUGGUGGCUCAUGUGACCUUUGCAUGACAUGGUCAGAUCAUAUGACCUAUUGUCUAUUUGUUGCUCACCUUGGCUCCCACAUUCACUUUCACGUUCAAAGUUGCUCCAUGUACACGCACCACUGCGACUGACAUUAUGCAUGGACAUCUGGGUUGUUCCCAGUGUCCCUUAACAUCACAGCUUCUCAGAACAUCGGCACAAACUCCUCCUUGUAAGAACAUAGUUGGGGUGUGUACCCCACAGAUGGAGGCUGGCUUGGGAGCACCUCUAAGCAAUGCUUAGAGGAGGCACCUUGGGGGGUUGCUGAGGAGUGGGAUUAGAGAAGGGGGUGUGUGGGUGGCCAAUUGUGGUGUGGGUAGGCCCUGGCUCUAGGCCCAAACCUGCUUCAAGCCAGAGCAGACUCAGUUUUGGGCUUUAAGGCUAUGUUUAAGGCCCUCACUUUCAAGGCACAUGAAGCCAGCCAUGCCUGUGGAGCCCUGAUGUUGGGAGUCAUCCAUGAUUGCUCUUGCACCUCAUUCAGGGACUCUCAAUCAAACUCAGAGCUCACCCAUAUGCGUAGACUCUGUUGCUAGUUUGCUCUGGGACUCCUCUCUGCCUUCCGAGGCUGGAAUGACAGGCUGGCCACCAUCCUACCUGGCAUUUAUGGAGACUUGGACACAGGCCUUUGACUCUAGCACUGUGCCUGCUCUGCUACUCUGUGCCUUAAGAACUCUGCCUUCCUGCAGAUGGUGAUUAAUAACUAACUUGUGCCUUGCCCUCUGCGGUGGCCCCUCCCAGGAGGCUGAGGCUGCUUUCUUAUCUAAAUAAACUCUGCAC